UCUAGCUAAGAUAGCCAGUUCUUGAUCUUGCAACAUUUUUAGUUAAAUUGUAAAUACUUCCGCCAAUAAGCACGCAAAUUGUAAAUGUUAAAAGAAGU
Molecule: long non-coding RNA, 98 nt
Organism: Maniola jurtina (meadow brown)
Lineage: Eukaryota; Metazoa; Arthropoda; Insecta; Lepidoptera; Nymphalidae
Exons: 3
Source: RefSeq, a predicted model, not a curated record